AACGGGAUUGGAAAUAGCAAUAUUACCAUGAGAGUGGCGCACGGGUGCGUAACACGUAUGCAAUCUGCCCCUAACUGGAAGAUAGCCCGGCGAAAGUCGGAUUAAUAUUCCAUAACAUUGCGAAACGGCAUCGUUUUGUAAUUAAAGCUCCGGCGGUUAGGGAUGAGCAUGCGCGACAUUAGCUAGAUGGCGAGGUAACGGCUCACCAUGGCUACGAUGUCUAGGGGGUCUGAGAGGAUUAUCCCCCACACUGGUACUGAGACACGGACCAGACUCCUACGGGAGGCAGCAGUAGGGAAUAUUGGGCAAUGGACGCAAGUCUGACCCAGCCAUGCCGCGUGCAGGAUGACGGCCCUAUGGGUUGUAAACUGCUUUUGUACAGGAAGAAACCCCUUUACGUGUAGAGGGCUGACAUUACUGUAAGAAUAAGGAUCGGCUAACUCCGUGCCAGCAGCCGCGGUAAUACGGAGGAUCCAAGCGUUGUCCGGAUUUAUUGGGUUUAAAGGGUGCGUAGGCGGACCAUUAAGUCAGAGGUGAAAGUUUGCAGCUUAACUGUAAAAUUGCCUUUGAAACUGGUGGUCUUGAGUACAGUUGAGGUGGGCGGAAUGUGUCAUGUAGCGGUGAAAUGCUUAGAUAUGAUACAGAACACCGAUUGCGAAGGCAGCUCACUAAACUGUAACUGACGCUGAGGCACGAAAGCGUGGGGAGCGAACAGGAUUAGAUACCCUGGUAGUCCACGCCCUAAACGUUGAAUACUCGUUGUUGGCGAUAUACAGUCAGCGACUAAGCGAAAGCAUUAAGUAUUCCACCUGUGGAGUACGACCGCAAGGUUGAAACUCAAAGGAAUUGACGGGGGCCCGCACAAGCGGAGGAGUAUGUGGUUUAAUUCGAUGAUACGCGAGGAACCUUACCUGGGCUUGAAAGUUAGCGACCGCUGCCGAAAGGUGGCUUCCCUUCGGGG
RNAcentral lists this ribosomal RNA (961 nucleotides) under uncultured bacterium. RNAcentral's name for it is "bacterial SSU rRNA". It matches the Rfam family "Bacterial small subunit ribosomal RNA", at positions 65 to 1025 of the family's 1533-position model. The record is from RNAcentral.